This 469-nucleotide ribosomal RNA is filed under the name uncultured bacterium. RNAcentral's name for it is "bacterial SSU rRNA". It matches the Rfam family "Bacterial small subunit ribosomal RNA", at positions 329 to 794 of the family's 1533-position model. The record is from RNAcentral.
UCCCAGACUCCUACGGGAGGCAGCAGUGAGGAAUAUUGGUCAAUGGGCUUACGCCUGAACCAGCCAAGUCGCGUGAGGGAAGACUGCCCUAUGGGUUGUAAACCUCUUUUGUCAGGGAGCAAUUGGCGCUACGUGUAGCGUUAUCGAGAGUACCUGAAGAAAAAGCAUCGGCUAACUCCGUGCCAGCAGCCGCGGUAAUACGUAGGGUGCGAGCGUUAAUCGGAAUUACUGGGCGUAAAGGGUGUGCAGGCGGCUGAGUAAGACAGAUGUGAAAUCCCCGGGCUUAACCUGGGAACCGCAUAUGUGACUGCUUGGCUAGAGUGCGUCAGAGGGAGGUGGAAUUCCACGUGUAGCAGUGAAAUGCGUAGAUAUGUGGAAGAACACCGAUGGCGAAGGCAGCCUCCUGGGACGCAACUGACGCUCAUACACGAAAGCGUGGGGAGCAAACAGGAUUAGAUACCCCCGUAAC